Long non-coding RNA from Marmota monax (woodchuck), 2828 nucleotides. RefSeq lists it as uncharacterized. The transcript has 4 exons. The record is from RefSeq and is a predicted model, not a curated record. NCBI's taxonomy places the organism in Eukaryota, Metazoa, Chordata, Mammalia, Rodentia, Sciuridae.
AGUGUCUUUAUCCAGUAUUAUGUCUUCUGCAGAAGGAAGGAGAAUUAAUGGUAGGAUUUCCACUAGAACCAUCCAGAUUGUAAGACAAGGCAAAAACAGGUCACACUUGAGGUUCUUUCCAUAAGUAAGGACAGGAUCCGUAUGCUAUUUCCCAUGAGGCCAUUCCACAACCAAACACAAAACGGUUCUGACUCAGUGUGAACUAUCCCUGAACUAUUUCAUCUCUACAACAGACGUGAGGUGUUUCAUCACAGGUUCCAAAGGAACUGGUGAUAGGUUGGGACGACCAUGGUUAGGGCCUUGACAUAGAUAACGACAGUACAGAUCUCAGGAUAUUUCUUCAAUAUUUAAGCAAGGUCUACCCCACCCACCUGGGUGGAUUCAAAGGGAUAGAGGUGGCUGUGGAGGCCCUUACAUGCAGAGCAGAGAGACAGAGCGUGCCUGAGGGCCCAAGCAGCGGGAGGUGGGCGGUGGAUAGCAGCAUAUGAGCAGGCAGAGGACCCAGCCAGAAAGGCAGCACUCCGAGGGAGGGAGGCCCCACCAGAGCCUGUCUUCAGGAACGGGGCCUCUGGACAAAGUGGAGGGCAAGGGAGAGAGUUGAGAAGGCAUGUUCAGAGGCAGCUCCUUGUGGAGGGUUGACAGUCGAACAGAUGAGAGGGUACCCACGGUGGGGGUGGCAGGGACUGGAUCCACAGAGGCGGCCCUCUCCACCUUCUCUUUUCUACAAGGAGAAAUGGUGGUGUUUGUGCAGGUUGAUCAGGGGAACCUGAGAGGCAUGAGAGCUCUGAGACUUUAGGAGAAGAGAGUAAAGGAAACCAGCCCGUCUCACCAGUCUGCUUGAUCUAGACAGUCUUGUGGCUGUGGAAUUGCUGAGGUCAGGACAGAGAGAGGACUGAUUUCUCACUUACCUAGAAAGUUAUUUCAGAUCAGGUGACACCAUGUUACCCCUGUUUGCACAGCUACUGCACUGUGGUCUUUUCUAAAACGAAACCUUUCCUAGUCAGCAAAUUGGUGCUUAUUGGAAAGAACGUAAGCCCAGAAUCAGAUUAUGUUGACAGUUCAAAUGUGUGCUAGAGAUGGGGAGGGAAAACACUUCUCUUUUUUCACAGGGGAACUGAUGGAACUGCAGAUGACAUUGCAAGCACAAAGUCAGUCUUCCCCACAGAGUAAUCACUUUGCACUUACCUGCAAAUUUUCGGAUUUUAUUCAGACCUGCAAUUGAUGAAGAUGUUCAGGGUUAACUGGGUGACAGGGAAGGACAGGGCUGUUGUAGGUAAUGUCACAUGGCACAUCAAUUGGGAAUCCUGGCUUCACUUACCCUGUUCUCCAAGGAAUUUUCUUUCUUCUGCAACAGUAAAUAGGAAGAGCUAUUGUUUAAAGACAAGUUUAGCACUGGGACAAGGAACCUGCUGACCAGACUGGCCAACACUCCAGUCCCUCAGGACUGAGAAUGGGCAGAGGACAGGAAAGAUGGUGACAAGGACUUAAGAUUCUUCACUUUGUCCUGUAAAUGUCUGUGGGGGGCUAAAAGGGGGACUAAAGACUCGGCCUCUCUGCUUGCAUUUUACACCAACCUUCUUUGCUCCAAAGUCACCCUGGAUUCCAGGAAAAAGGGAUGAUGGAUGGACCUCAUGUGAAGAGUAGAGUCCACCUCAGCUUCCCCAGCUCAGGCAACAGCAACUUCCUUAUUGGACAAGGCCCUGUGGGACCAGCCUGAGAUAAGAAUGGGCAGGGCACACCUGACCAAGACCUCCUGCAUUGGCAGCUGUGCAAAGCCUCCAGCUGUGUAAGCUCCUCACACUGGACCUCAGUCCCCUUUCUGUAAAUCCUCAAAGUCCUUGUCAGCCCUGAAGACAGGGCUAAGGACAUGGGUCCCCGCAUCUUUCCAGAGUAGAUGAUCAAAGUUCCUUUUCAAGUUUUUUAAAACAAAAAAACAAAAUAAAAAACCAUUCAAUAUCAUUAGCCACAAGGAGUAACUGCAGGUCAAUACCACCAUGAGAAACCAUCUCACCCCAGUUAGAAUGGCUGUGAUCGAGACAGAGCAAAACAUCGUGCAUGGAGAGCCCCCCUUUGGGAGAGUCGACAGGCCGCGGCACAAGCCCAGGAGCAGGCUCCUCACCCCUGGGCAUGGCACCCACACAGCCGUCUCACGCUGAAGCAGGAUAUUUUUGCUUUCUUCCAGAAAACCUCCCACCUAACCGUAUAAUGCAUUCUCUGCCCUCAAGAAAAUGUGACAUGCGCAGCACCACCUGAGCGCAGAUCCGUUCGGCCUCUCAAUUCUUGGCCAGCGUUCAGGUAACAUUCUCUCCUGGAACGAGAUCUGCGUGCUGGCCGCCUGGGCUUGGCUCUGCCUGGGCUUGGGAAAGAGAGUCCCAGGGCUGAUGUCCCUCUCCUCUGACCAGGCCACCCGCUGGCUCACUCUGGACAGCAGUGCAGCCAGCGCUCUCCUUCCUCACCACCGCCUCUCACUCCCAGUCCCUGCUCUUCAGCAACUUGGCCUGGCUGGCCCCUCCUCAGCAGGACCCAUGGGCUCACUCCUCCUGCUGUGGGAGGAGUCAUUCGUCAUCACUGGGGGGCGCGAGGGAGGUGGAAGGGCUGAAGCCCCACACCACGCCUUCCCGCAUCCCUGCCAGGACUGUCUACCUUCUAUGAAUGCUCAAUACGGACCUUUCAAAUUACCACGAUAUUGGUUUAAUUGUCCCCAAACAUUAUUUUUAGGUGAUUAAAGGAAUUGCUAAUGGAUUUUGGUUUUGUUGCAACAAUCACAAAGAUCAAUUGUGUAUAUGUCAAACUACUGCAUAGGUCAAAAAUAAAUGUCACUUACCUUU